UUAAAUAACGAUUGUGUAUGCAAAUGUCAAUGGUUGGUAACGCCCAUAAUAUGAAUAUUCAUGAGCUUGACUGAUAUUAUUAUCCUCUAUUCCAGGCACCUUUCCAUUUUGUGUUCUUUGUGCAUUCUUAUCAGAAAUCCUACGUUCGGUAAAUAAGUCUCUGUAUCACUAUUCUCCUUCUUAUUUGUAUGCAGAUUUGGUUAUAAUGAUUGAUAACUGUAAUCAUCCUCAUUAUUUUAAUAAGAAAUUUUUCUAUCUGUGAUGGAAGUUUUUAUGUACGAUUGCCUGAUCUGAAGACAAGACUUUCGCUGCAUGCAUAUUUAAUGUAUGACGUCACCCACACAGAGUGAGAGCUCGAAGUUUUCUUUGAAAGUUUGAUGGAAAAUGUACAGAGACUUGUCGCAGUUAAUGCAGUACCAAAUACUUGCUUUCUUGGAGUAUGUGCUUGAAACAAGAAUGUCCUGGAGAAAACAGACCACCACAAGAGAAGACAUACAUGUACAGUAUGGACUAUGAAGUUCUACUUAGCCUCUUCAAUGAACUGCUGGAGCUGCGACUGGGUAUCAAAACCUUGGUAUUAUAAACUUCAUAACCAGUGGCGGAGAUAUGUUGUUAGCCAGGGGGUAGGGGUCAGUGCCCCCCCCCCCACUUUUUCAAGUACCCCCAGUAUGCCCCUUUUAUGGCCUUUUCACAUAGGUAAAGUGCCAUAUUACUUUGACAAGUUCCCCUAUAAAUUUGUAAAAUUGCCCCUUCCCCAUUUCACCUCUGAUAAGUGCCCCUUAUCCUUCGACAAGUUCCGAUUCUUCUAUGCAAUAAGUGUUCAUUUUCCAUUCUCAUAACUGCCCUUUUUAAUCUCUAGUAAGUGCCCCUUUUCAACUACGAGAAAUGCCCCUUUUCACUUUUGAUAAGUGCCCCCUCCAUCUCCUGAUUAGUGCUCUUUUCAUCUCUGAUGAGUGUCCCAUUUUGUCUCUAAUAACUGCCACUUUUAUUUGACACGCCCCCUUUUCCUUCCUAAUAAAUGCUCUUUUUUCUGAUCAUAAGUAUCCCUUACCCUUCUCAUAAUUACCCCUUUUCAUCUCUCAUAAGUGCCUUGUUUACUUUAACAUGUGCCUCUUUUCCUUUUUAAUAAGAGCCACUUCCCCGUUUUCAGAAUAGCCCCCUUUCACCUCCAAUAAAUGCCCCUAUUAAAAUCUGAUCUGCACCUCCCUUUUUGUCUCGCCUACAAGCAAAAAGUGAGACAUAGGCGCUGCUUUUCCGGUGACGGCGGCGGCGACGGCGUCAACA
Long non-coding RNA from Strongylocentrotus purpuratus (purple sea urchin), 1284 nucleotides. RefSeq lists it as uncharacterized. NCBI's taxonomy places the organism in Eukaryota, Metazoa, Echinodermata, Echinoidea, Camarodonta, Strongylocentrotidae. The record is from RefSeq and is a predicted model, not a curated record. The transcript has 3 exons.